CGCACAUUGCGCCCAUUAGUAUUCUAGUGGGCAUGCCUGUUCGAGCGUCAUUUCAACCCUUAAGCUUAGCUUAGUAUUGGGAAUCUGCUUAACCGCAGCUCCUUAAAUCUAGUUGGCAGAGUGUAGUUGUACUCUGAGCGUAGUAAUUCAUUAUCUCGCUUUCUGAAGACACUAUCCUAUCGCCAUAAACCUAUUUAUUUUUUACUGGUUGACCUCGGAUCAGGUAGGAAUACCCGCUGAACUUAA
Molecule: unclassified non-coding RNA, 246 nt
Filed under: Xylariales sp.
Lineage: Eukaryota; Fungi; Ascomycota; Sordariomycetes; Xylariales
Description: partial contains 5.8S ribosomal RNA, internal transcribed spacer 2, and large subunit ribosomal RNA
Source: RNAcentral